Molecule: non-coding RNA, 222 nt
Filed under: unclassified sequences
Description: IS605-orfB-I RNA
Rfam family: IS605-orfB-I RNA
Source: Rfam by way of RNAcentral
GUCGUAUAAAGAUGUAUUAGAUGCAAGACAAUCUAGCAUUUCCCUUUACGGCAUUGUAUAAAAUAUUAGAAGUUCAAAUAACAAUAGUUGUUGUAUGGUAAAUAAUCGAAACAGUUUGAGUUUGAAUGGAAUAGGUUAUCUGUAUGACCUUGGGUUGAAAAACACUAAAAAUAAUCUCAUAAUAAUGAUUUCGGAAUUUUCGUUAUUUUGAGUUACAGUGGA